CAAAGCUUCUGCUCCGGGGACCGCCUCGGGGAGCGUGGGAACCUAGUGUAGGGGCGCUUAUCCUGUGGGGGCGGAGUGUUGCGUGUGUGUGCGUGGGGGUCGGGGGCGUUUCCGGCAAGUUAAACGCCUGCUAGACUUUGAGCGGAAGCUGAGGGAGACUGGCAACGCUUGAGGCUGAAUCCUGCCGUCUCUUUCACCUGCUGCUCUUGAGCAGUUAGCAAUCAAAUUCGUGAAAAGAGUGAAUCCAGAAAUAGAGAAGACAUGAAAGAGGAUGAAGAAAUGAAAAUACAUCUAAAGCAUUCAGAAAUCACCAGGAUACAGGCUGAAUCAUACUUCAGGCCCAGGGAAGUGGAAGUCAUUUUAAUCUUGCACCAGUUAAAGACCUCCGAAAAGGCCAUCUGAAGACGUGUCUGCUGCUCUUACUGAUGGGGCUCAUCAUUCCAACGAUUUCCCAAGGAUAUGAGGGACUUGGCCUGAUUCACAGGUGGCAGUUCCAGAAUGGAGAGCCAUGGCUCCAUGAGGAAAAUAGCUGUCCUGUGUCCAGCACAUCACAAACCCUUCACAGAAGAAGGCAAAAGCAAGUCAGCAGCCCGGUGGGCUGAGCUACAGUCCCUAUUCCUGGCAGUAAGAGAACUGGACACAAGUAAAAUCCCCGCAAUUACGUGCUUAUUGAAUCUUGAAUAGUUGCUUAUGGACUUGCCAUUUGGUCUGAUUUGAUCGCUAUCAACUUCAACUGGUCUACCCAACCAUGGAACAUAAUCCAGGGAGAAAUCUCCAGCAUAAAACUUCACAAGCCACUUAUGAUGUGUUCAAUCAGUCACAGCACCUUCUCCAUACACUGCACAAAUCUUUUUUUGCAUUUCAGUUGUGUUUUUACCUUUCUUGAAAUAAUAAAGCACAAUAGGCGUGAAAA
Mesoplodon densirostris (Blainville's beaked whale) is the source of this 913-nucleotide long non-coding RNA. RefSeq lists it as uncharacterized. The record is from RefSeq and is a predicted model, not a curated record. The transcript has 4 exons. Lineage: Eukaryota; Metazoa; Chordata; Mammalia; Artiodactyla; Ziphiidae.